This 797-nucleotide long non-coding RNA is filed under the name Strongylocentrotus purpuratus (purple sea urchin). RNAcentral's name for it is "uncharacterized LOC115920140, transcript variant X2". Lineage: Eukaryota; Metazoa; Echinodermata; Echinoidea; Camarodonta; Strongylocentrotidae. The record is from RNAcentral.
CUCAAAUGUCAUUAGUCAUUAAUAGUGGACCAAUUUCACACCAAGGUCUGCAAUAUCGAUCAAGACUAUACAUGCUCGCAUCUAGUUUGCUAUUUCAAACGGGAAUGUGUACGUACGUGUGUGUACAGGUACAUUCAGCACUCAAGGCAAUGCGUAGGACUACAAUGCAUUGCAUUGCACUAUACGAUGUGUAUGUAAUGUAUUUGAAUUCAGAGUGAAAAAGCCGUUGCAAGAAGUAUCCUCCUGAAUACUCUCGUUUUCUCCUGCAAAUUUACAGUAUGGGCAUCUUUUUUUAACAUCUUUCGUCAAAGAAGUGGAUUCAAAGCACAUUGUGGCCUCAGUAUAUUGAUGUGAAACCAUUCAGAAAAUGCUACUUUCUCUCAACCUUGUGGAUGUUCCCUACUUCCCUAAGGAUCAGCAGCCUCUUGAAACAGGUGAAGCCAUUAUCGAAUUCCUUGCGUCUAUGUUCCUUGGAUCUGAAAACAGUGCAUAAUGCAGGAGAUUCCACCCAAAAGCUAACCCACAAGUCCAAGCUGAAGUGGAAUAUUUCGCAAAAUUUGAUCUACACUCACCCGAUAGCUUUACUGCUAGAGAAAGGUGGUCAUAUAGAUGUCAUUUAGAGGACACAAAAGACGUAAAGAUCAUGUAAGGAUAAAAGGUACAUCGAAAUGACCAGUAAGAUGUAAAUAUCACGUCAAAAUUUGAUGUCCAUACAACGUAUACACGACGUCUGUAGGACGUCUUUCUUGGGUAAAAGUUGACGUCUUAAAGACGUCUUUCUUGGACCAAUAAGACCA